RNAcentral lists this ribosomal RNA (89 nucleotides) under Terrihalobacillus insolitus. RNAcentral's name for it is "Bacterial small subunit ribosomal RNA". It matches the Rfam family "Bacterial small subunit ribosomal RNA", at positions 1 to 89 of the family's 1533-position model. Lineage: Bacteria; Bacillati; Bacillota; Bacilli; Caryophanales; Bacillaceae. The record is from Rfam by way of RNAcentral.
UUUAUGGAGAGUUUGAUCUUGGCUCAGGACGAACGCUGGCGGCGUGCCUAAUACAUGCAAGUCGAGCGCGGGAAGCAAGCAAUCGCCCU